This 71-nucleotide transfer RNA is filed under the name Ictidomys tridecemlineatus (thirteen-lined ground squirrel). RNAcentral describes it as "Spermophilus tridecemlineatus (thirteen-lined ground squirrel) tRNA". It matches the Rfam family "tRNA". Rfam says of the family: Transfer RNA (tRNA) molecules are approximately 80 nucleotides in length. Their secondary structure includes four short double-helical elements and three loops (D, anti-codon, and T loops). Lineage: Eukaryota; Metazoa; Chordata; Mammalia; Rodentia; Sciuridae. The record is from Rfam by way of RNAcentral.
GUGGCUGUGGCUCAGAGGUAGAGCACUCGCCUAGCAUGUGUGAGGCACUGGGUUCAAUUCUCAGCACCACA